GACAUAUUACAACGUUAAUUAGAAUGCGUACAGGCCAUUGCUUAACAAAAAACCAUUUAUAUAAAAUUAAAGUGAAGGAAGAUCCAUUCUGUGAGUGUGGCUCUGUUGAAGACCUAAAUCAUAUCUUUUUAGAAUGUCCUAUAAAUUUUUUGUUUAAUUUGGAUUUAUAUCAAAAAUUUAUUGAAAUGAAUUUUCCUACUCCACUAUCAAUAUUUACAGUUUUGUCUAAGCCAAGUGAAAAAUUAAUAGAAACUAUUAUGAUAUUUUUAAACAUUAAUAGAAUUAAAUUAUAAUGCUCAACUUUCUAUUUUUUAUUUUCUUUUUGUUUCAGUUUCCGAAUGCAGUCUGUUUGUGUGACCUCUAUCCUAUGUGCCUUUGUGUGUGAUAUAAUCUUCCUUUCAGCACGUCAUUUAUAUAUUUAAUAAAUAAUAAUAAUAACAUUUUACAGUCACAGGUCACAGAUAAGAAUCAGUGGCCUUGAUAUGGUUUAGAGCCAGUCAACAUCUUGGUCACUCCCAAAUUGAGCUGGCGGUUGCCUUGUAGCAGAGCCAUCAUAAAAAAA
This 562-nucleotide long non-coding RNA is filed under the name Sitophilus oryzae (rice weevil). RNAcentral describes it as "uncharacterized LOC115884736". Lineage: Eukaryota; Metazoa; Arthropoda; Insecta; Coleoptera; Curculionidae. The record is from RNAcentral.